Molecule: ribosomal RNA, 468 nt
Filed under: uncultured bacterium
Lineage: Bacteria
Description: partial 16S ribosomal RNA
Rfam family: Bacterial small subunit ribosomal RNA
Source: RNAcentral
GACGAACGCUGGCGGCGUGCUUAACACAUGCAAGUCGAACGGAAAGGCCCUGCUUUUGUGGGGUGCUCGAGUGGCGAACGGGUGAGUAACACGUGAGUAACCUGCCCUUGACUUUGGGAUAACUUCAGGAAACUGGGGCUAAUACCGGAUAGGAGCUCCUGCUGCAUGGUGGGGGUUGGAAAGUUUCGGCGGUUGGGGAUGGACUCGCGGCUUAUCAGCUUGUUGGUGGGGUAGUGGCUUACCAAGGCUUUGACGGGUAGCCGGCCUGGGAGGGUGAGCGGCCACAUUGGGACUGAGAUACGGCCCAGACUCCUACGGGAGGCAGCAGUGGAGAAUAUUGCACAAUGGGCGGAAGCCUGAUGCAGCAACGCCGCGUGCGGGAUGACGGCCUUCGGGUUGUAAACCGCUUUCGCCUGUGACGAAGCGUUAGUGACGGUAAUAGGUAAAGAAGCACCGGCUAACUACGUG